CAAUAACCCGACGGACCAGUUGCAGGAACCGAAAAAAUGUAGCAAGCUGGGGCCCGAGGAAGAGAAGGAGUAGCAGCAACAGCUGCAGGCAAGCCGAGCUGGCGGUGAGGAGCUGAAAAGCUGCCCACAUAAGCACCGAUGUAACCGAUUCUUAUCAAGGCAGAAGUGGGGCCUUCUUCCUGGUGAAACGGUGACUAACGUCCAGCCAUCGAUCCGUCAGUUCGUCCGCGGUGGCGGGUGAUGCGUCUGGUGAUAGAAGACUUUCUCUGCUUGUGUUUUUAUGUGCGAGUGUGCAACAGAGUCAUCAGUGCACACAUUGUGUUCUGUUUUUUUACGUUCUAGAUUGCAUUAAAAGAUGUCGAUUUUGAGAUUAUUUCAUUUCUUUCUUGUUUAUUUUAAUGUAUUCUAGAAAUGAUUUGACUUUUUUUUUUUACACAUUCAGGCAUUUAGCUCAAGCACUGGGAUAAAGUUUGUCUGCUUAAAAAAAUAAAUGCAUGAAGUUGCAAUUCUUUAAUUUAAACUGACCUUCAAAGUACCUUUUCAAGUAACUUGACCAAAACUGGUGCUGAUCAUAGUUUGUAUCAUCUUAAUUGUGCUUCAUGUUUUUUCUUACACUCUGCACCCAGAUAAAGUUUUUAUGUAC
Molecule: long non-coding RNA, 643 nt
Organism: Oreochromis niloticus (Nile tilapia)
Lineage: Eukaryota; Metazoa; Chordata; Actinopteri; Cichliformes; Cichlidae
Exons: 3
Source: RefSeq, a predicted model, not a curated record